AUGACCCUACGGGACGCAGCAGUAGGGAAUUUUCGUCAAUGGGCGCAAGCCUGAACGAGCAAUGCCGCGUGGACGAGGAAGGUCUUCGGAUCGUAAAGUUCUGUUGAAGGGGAAAAAGAGCGGAGAGAGGAAAUGAACUCCGAUUGAUAUUACCCUUCGAGGAAGUCACGGCUAACUACGUGCCAGCAGCCGCGGUAAUACGUAGGUGGCGAGCGUUAUCCGGAAUGAUUGGGCGUAAAGGGUGCGUAGGCGGCCUGCUAAGUCUGGAGUGAAAGGUACCGGCUCAACCGGUACAGGCUCUGGAA
RNAcentral lists this ribosomal RNA (305 nucleotides) under uncultured bacterium. Its description in RNAcentral is "bacterial SSU rRNA". It matches the Rfam family "Bacterial small subunit ribosomal RNA", at positions 333 to 631 of the family's 1533-position model. The record is from RNAcentral.